UCCACGAUUAUUCUCGAUUUAUUUUACUAUUUAUAAGUUGGCAUAUCGCCGUAGAUGGAAUGUCCUUUAAGGGUUUAUAAACAUUCAAGAGGUUUUUAUUUGUGAAAGUAAAUCAGGUCAAGAUGUAGCUGAUAAAUAAGAAGAGAUGGGUUACAAUAAAUUUAUUUAUAACGGAUUAAUAUAUGAAAUUUAUUAUAAAGGUGGAUUUGAAGGCCACCCC
RNAcentral lists this ribosomal RNA (220 nucleotides) under Galapaganus conwayensis. RNAcentral's name for it is "partial 12S ribosomal RNA". Lineage: Eukaryota; Metazoa; Arthropoda; Insecta; Coleoptera; Curculionidae. The record is from RNAcentral.